RNAcentral lists this ribosomal RNA (277 nucleotides) under uncultured bacterium. RNAcentral describes it as "partial 16S ribosomal RNA". It matches the Rfam family "Bacterial small subunit ribosomal RNA", at positions 28 to 295 of the family's 1533-position model. The record is from RNAcentral.
GAUAAACGCUGGCGGCGUGCCUAACACAUGCAAGUCGAACGCCCUGUCGCAAGGCAGGGAGUGGCGGACGGGUGAGUAACACGUGGGUACCUGCCCUCAAGUGAGGAAUACCGGCGAGAAAUCGCCGACAAUACCGCAUAGGCUCCCUCCCCCCGCUUCCAAGCGGGAGGGGGGGAGCAAAGCCGGGCUUAGCCGGGCGCUUGAGGAGGGGCUCGCGGCCGAUUAGCUAGUUGGUGAGGUAAGAGCUCACCAAGGCGACGAUCGGUAGCUGGUCUGA